GCCAGGGGCAGGUGCCAGGGGCAGGGCCCAGUGCUCACAGCUGGGGGACACCUGUACUUACGCCAAGAUCAGAAGUGACAGGAGCUCGAGGCUGUUUCUUUUCUGAACAGAGGAACGGUGGCUGCAUCACGAUAACAACAAGUACAAGCGUCUGUCACUCAGUCGUGUCCGGCUCUGUGUGGCCCCAGGCACUGAGGCCCGCCAGGCUCCUCUGUCCAUGGGAUUCUCCAGGCGAGAAUACUGGACGGGGUUGUCAUGCCUUCCUCCAGGGGGAUCUUCCUGACUCAGGGACAACAGUAGUAAACAAUUGAAAAAAUUCUGGCCAGGUGUGGUCAGUUCUGCACACUUGGCCUCUGGUUGCAUCUGCCUGGAGCGACCAGCAGGCGAGAGGAAGAAUCCUGCAUGGCUCCCUCACCCACAAGCGCACGGGCAAGUGCGAGGGCAGGGCCUGCUUCCUGCCCAGCUUCCCCGGGGUGGGUGCGGGGCAGUGCAUCUCCUGGCCUGGAGGGACGGACCCGUAGAGUCCAUCUACUUUAGGCUGUGCUUUGCACAGACCUGUGUCCCCCAGAAGAUGUGGGGGUCAUAACCCUCAGGACCUGGGUGUGGCCUUAGUCGGAAACAAGGUCUUUGCAGAUGAUCAAGUUAAGAUGAGGUCACUAGGGUGGGUCCUGAUCCCACAGGACUGGGGUCCUUAUAGGAAGAGGUCAGGACACAAACACACACAGAGAGGCACGACCCUGUGAGGACAGGGGGAGGAGGCGGCUGUCUGCACGCCCAGGAGAGAGGCCUCAGGAGGACCAGCCGUGCCUACACCUGGGUCUGGGAUUCCAGCCUCCGACUGGGAGAAAUAAAUGCCUUUGAUUAGGGACCGUGUGUGGGACUGUUGCUGCAGCCGAGCAGAGAAGGCACAAUGCUGGGGUGCCUCCCAUCCCUUCUCCCAUCACCAGGGCUUCUGGUUGGGAGGCGGGGGUGGCCUCCACACACCUGGAUUUGUGUGCAAGCCGAACCCAGUCCUGGAGACUCAGAGUCACAUGCUGGAGCCUGGGGCUGGGCCGGGCUUUCCCAGCCGGAAUCUGAGACCACAGCAGGAAUUGAGGUGACUGUGGGCAGCCCCGCAGGUAGCGUCCCCUCCAUCUUCACCUGGGGGGCCAGUUUCAGGCCCAACCUGACAGGUCCUCUUCCUACUGCAGCCCCAGAGGAGGGGACCCAGAAGCUGGACCCCCAGGUGGAGCCAGGGCCUGUCCCUUGCCUCUGGGGAUGGUGGUUAAAACUAGGUGCUGGAGAGGGCCAGGCUGGUCACAGCACCCCUCACCUGGUGGCCCCAAGUCGGAGAGUCACUGGGCAGGCUGGCUCUGUGCCCCACCCCCACCUGCCUCCCUAGGGUCUGGUGGUCGCCGGAUCUGGGACACAUUAAGGCCGACUUGUUGUCAUUGAAGGGAAACGUCUGUGAUGAAGCUGGUGGAGGGCUGAGUCAGUGGUCCCGAGAGGACCCGUGUGGUGGCCAGGCUGUGCUGUAAGCUAGCCGGGCCUCAGGGCUGGAGGGAGACGUGAGGACCACUCCGGGGUCCCCGAAUUUUAGGCAGACUUGGCAGGUACCCGUUACCCCUCCACUGGUCACCACUCCCCGGGGGUGGAGGUGCCAGCCUGCUGCCACUAAGGGAAGAACCUCUGGCUUCUUCUGGUAGCAGAUGGAUCUUGGUCUCCUUGGUGGUCUGGCCGUCGGCCAGGACAGGUGGAUGCCGAUGGUCUGAGGGUUGCAGGGGGCUGUGGCGGGUUUGCCUGGCUCCACGUUAAGUGCUUCCCGCAUUCUCCCAUUCACCCCCUUGACAGUCCACUGCGUGAUGUCAGCCUCCGUUUUAUGCCUUUUAAUGACUCUCCAAGGUCUCUGGGACCAGCCGAGUCCUCCAUCUUCAUUCUUGUCCUGGAGACCACUUCCCCACGCUGUCCCCUAGGAGGACGAGUGGCUCAGAGACACAGUUCCUGCCUUUGGGAAUCUACAUCCAGCUGAGGAGACACAGGUUAAAAGUCCAGGAGGCAAGAAGACACUUAAAGGGGUACCGUGGCCACCCCGGCCCCCGCAGGCUGGACAGGAGUGUGGAGCCAAGGAGGCAACCCCAGUGGCCAGAGGAGGCUCCCCAUUGCCUUCCCUGUGGGUGGGGACCGCGGGCAGAGGCUGGGAGAGCCAUGCUCCAGAGGUCCAGGCCCUUGGCCACUUUCCCAGGGCUGUCCGAGCCUCAUGCCUCGGAACCUUCCCGCCUGUGUCUCUGUCAGGCACUCCUUGCGUGCAUGGCACUGUGCAGGCAGCUCUCACCUGCAGGGGCAUCUGGAGCAGCUUUGAGAGAAGAGGGCAGGCCACCCACUGGC
Molecule: long non-coding RNA, 2364 nt
Organism: Bos taurus (domestic cattle)
Lineage: Eukaryota; Metazoa; Chordata; Mammalia; Artiodactyla; Bovidae
Source: Ensembl